AGGAAGAAACCCCCUAUCCAUUAGUAUUGAUAAGAAACUUCUCCUAAGGCAAAAAGAAAAAAAAUGGGAUUGAUGUUGAAGGGUAGACAUAGGGAUCAUUCGGGUUUAGAUGAUUAGGAGUAAGCACUUGGGAACCAUUGGGUAGUUAAGGUUUUAUUCCUGUAUGCAUUUGUUGGUCCUUACCUUUAGCAUUCUCCCUAAAGCUCAAUCCAUUCACUUAGAGAUCCUUGUCCUGAAAUUCUUUAAACCCUCUUGAUUCUCAAAACCUUUUUCUGCCUAGCCACGUGAGUUUGUUAAGCCUUGCACAACCAGAUUCAUAUUCUUGAGUAAUGAAUGUUGAAAGUAAUGAAUGAUUUGAAUGCAUGUGUAAAUCAAGGGAUAGAAUCAGUUUCGGAUUUGAUGAGUUUGUCUAAAGUCUUUAAGUAAAGUUCUUUCAGCAUGCAUCAAAGACUUAGCAACCAUGACAUUGAUUUUAACUGCUCUAUCUUGCAAGUUACAGGUUCUGAGACCCUAUUUUCAAACCUCUCUUCCACUUUGUUUCUUUUUGCUUUGCUUGAGGGCAAGCAAAUACUAAGUUUGUGGGAGUUGAUAAGUCUGUAUUUCAUCACUUUUUGAGCAUGCAUUCAUCA
Molecule: long non-coding RNA, 629 nt
Filed under: Capsella grandiflora
Lineage: Eukaryota; Viridiplantae; Streptophyta; Magnoliopsida; Brassicales; Brassicaceae
Description: long non-coding RNA (CGRA_LNC000893)
Source: RNAcentral